RNAcentral lists this microRNA precursor (84 nucleotides) under Bombyx mori (domestic silkworm). RNAcentral's name for it is "mir-2807 microRNA precursor family". It matches the Rfam family "mir-2807 microRNA precursor family". The record is from Rfam by way of RNAcentral. Lineage: Eukaryota; Metazoa; Arthropoda; Insecta; Lepidoptera; Bombycidae.
UUAACCCAAUUUAGUAUGCAGUUGGAACAGCGCCUCUAGCGGCAAACGUACGCAAACGUUCCAACUCCAUACAAAUUCGAGUUA